Molecule: long non-coding RNA, 357 nt
Filed under: Solanum tuberosum (potato)
Lineage: Eukaryota; Viridiplantae; Streptophyta; Magnoliopsida; Solanales; Solanaceae
Description: long non-coding RNA (STUB_LNC008224)
Source: RNAcentral
AGCGUUCUUGACAUUUGGAUCUUUAAAUAUCGAACUUGAUACUCUUAUUAAAUUGUUUACUUGAUUUAAUUAUUAUGUUUCUAUGGUGUUGCCCAUGAUUUGAGAAAGUUAACUUGGUGAAUCUGAUAGCUCCGAACCUAUAGUUUUGCACCACUAAGCUAUAUGCUUAGCGAUAGUUGUUUCUAUCGUAGGGAAUGAUCGAGUGGAUGCAUGAAGCUGGCCAUUGGAGAUGGAAAUUUUGAGAGCCUUAAGGAAGAUCACAUUUGCAUAUAGGCAUCUAUAUUUUGUAUAAACCUUGGGACUUGUACAUGAUCUAUGUGUUGUAUAUUUACAUGAAAUUUUGAGGACUAAUUUGAU